CGGUUGAUCCUGCCGGAGGCCACUGCUAUUGGGAUUCGAUUGAGCCAUGCGAGUCGAGAGGGUUCGGCCCUCGGCAGACUGCUCAGUAACACGUGGAUAACUUACCCUUAGGUGGAGGAUAAUCUCGGGAAACUGAGAAUAAUACUCCAUAGAUCUAGGCUGCUGGAAUGCAUCUAGAUCAAAAGCUCCGGCGCCUAAGGAUAGGUCUGCGGACUAUCAGGUUGUAGUCAGGGUAAAGACCUGACUAGCCUACGACGGAUAUGGGUUGUGAGAGCAAUAGCCCAGAGACGAUAUCUGAGACACGAUAUCGGGCCCUACGGGGCGCAGCAGGCGCGAAAUCUUCACAAUGUGCGAAAGCACGAUGAGGGAAUCCCAAGUGCUAGCACGUAAGUGUUAGCUGUUUCUACGUCUAAAAAACUCAGAGAGUAAGGGCUGGGUAAGACGGGUGCCAGCCGCCGCGGUAAUACCUGCAGCUCAAGUGGUGGCCGCUAUUAUUGGGCCUAAAACGUCCGUAGCCUGUUUAGUAAAUGCUUGGGUAAAUUGUGUAGCUUAACUAUACGAAUACCGGGUAGACUGCUAAACUUGGGACCGGGAGAGGCUAGAGGUACUCCUGGGGUAGAGGUGAAAUUCUGUAAUCCUAGGGGGACCACCAGUGGCGAAGGCGUCUAGCUAGAACGGGUCUGACGGUGAGGGACGAAGCCCUGGGGCGCGAACCGGAUUAGAUACCCGGGUAGUCCAGGGUGUAAACGCUGCUUGCUGAUNNUUAGUUUGGGCUCCGAGCCCAACUAGUGUCNNNNNNNAGUUGUUAAGCAAGCUGCCUGGGAAGUACGGUCGCAAGACUGAAACUUAAAGGAAUUGGCGGGGGGANCAC
RNAcentral lists this ribosomal RNA (871 nucleotides) under uncultured archaeon. RNAcentral's name for it is "bacterial SSU rRNA". It matches the Rfam family "Archaeal small subunit ribosomal RNA", at positions 5 to 879 of the family's 1478-position model. The record is from RNAcentral.